This 253-nucleotide ribosomal RNA is filed under the name uncultured bacterium. RNAcentral's name for it is "partial 16S ribosomal RNA". It matches the Rfam family "Bacterial small subunit ribosomal RNA", at positions 524 to 776 of the family's 1533-position model. The record is from RNAcentral. RNAcentral also lists the same sequence under 1 other name.
UACGUAGGGUGCGAGCGUUGUCCGGAAUUAUUGGGCGUAAAGAGCUCGUAGGCGGUUUGUCGCGUCGGCCGUGAAAACUUGGGGCUUAACUCCAAGCUUGCGGUCGAUACGGGCAGACUUGAGUUCGGCAGGGGAGACUGGAAUUCCUGGUGUAGCGGUGAAAUGCGCAGAUAUCAGGAGGAACACCGGUGGCGAAGGCGGGUCUCUGGGCCGACACUGACGCUGAGGAGCGAAAGCGUGGGGAGCGAACAGG